Molecule: ribosomal RNA, 1473 nt
Filed under: uncultured prokaryote
Description: partial 16S ribosomal RNA
Rfam family: Bacterial small subunit ribosomal RNA
Source: RNAcentral
AGAGUUUGAUCCUGGCUCAGGAUGAACGCUGGCGGCGUGCUUAACACAUGCAAGUCGAACGAACCUUCGGGUUAGUGGCGGACGGGUGAGUAACGCGUGAGAAUCUGCCCUCAGGAGGGGGAUAACGGCUGGAAACGGCCGCUGGGAUAACGGCUGGAAACGGCCGCUAAUACCCCAUAUGCCGAGAGGUGAAACGAAAUUCGCCUGAGGAUGAGCCCGCGUCUGAUUAGCUAGUUGGUGGGGUAAAGGCCCACCAAGGCGACGAUCAGUAGCUGGUCUGAGAGGAUGAUCAGCCACACUGGGACUGAGACACGGCCCAGACUCCUACGGGAGGCAGCAGUGGGGAAUAUUGGACAAUGGGCGAAAGCCUGAUCCAGCCAUGCCGCGUGAGUGAAGAAGGCCUUAGGGUUGUAAAACUCUUUCACCGGUGAAGAUGAUGACGGUAGCCGGAGAAGAAGCCCCGGCUAACUCCGUGCCAGCAGCCGCGGUAAUACGGAGGGGGCUAGCGUUGUUCGGAAUUACUGGGCGUAAAGCGCGCGUAGGCGGCAUAUCAAGUCAGAGGUGAAAGGCCUGGGCUCAACCCAGGAACUGCCUUUGAUACUGAUAAGCUAGAAUUCGGGAGAGGGUAGUGGAAUUUCCAGUGUAGAGGUGAAAUUCGUAGAUAUUGGAAAGAACACCAGUGGCGAAGGCGGCUACCUGGACCGAGAUUGACGCUGAGGUGCGAAAGCGUGGGGAGCGAACAGGAUUAGGAAACCCUGGUAGUCCACGCCGUAAACGAUGAGUGCUAGUUGUCGGGCAGCUUGCUGUUCGGUGACGUAGCUAACGCAUUAAGCACUCCGCCUGGGGAGUACGGCCGCAAGGCUAAAACUCAAAGGAAUUGACGGGGGCCCGCACAAGCGGUGGAGCAUGUGGUUUAAUUCGAUGCAACGCGCAGAACCUUACCAGCCCUUGACAUCCUGCGAGCGAGGAGUGGAGACACACCCCUUCGCUUCGGGGAACUGGGUGACAGGUGCUGCAUGGCUGUCGUCAGCUCGUGUCGUGAGAUGUUGGGUUAAGUCCCGCAACGAGCGCAACCCUCAUCCUUAGUUGCCAUCAGGUCAGGCUGGGCACUCUAGGGAAACUGCCGGUGACAAGCCGGAGGAAGGUGGGGAUGACGUCAAGUCCUCAUGGCCCUUACGGGCUGGGCUACACACGUGCUACAAUGGCGGGGACAGAGGGAUGCAAGGGUGCGAGCCUGAGCUAAUCUCAAAAAACCGUCUCAGUUCGGAUUGUUCUCUGCAACUCGAGAGCAUGAAGUUGGAAUCGCUAGUAAUCGCGUAUCAGCAUGACGCGGUGAAUACGUUCCCGGGCCUUGUACACACCGCCCGUCACACCAUGGGAGUUGGUUUUACUCGAAGACGGCGCGCUAACCACGGAGGCAGCCGACCACGGUAAGGUCAGCGACUGGGGUGAAGUCGUAACAAGGUAGCCGUA